UCUCAUUUGUGUUUGUUCUGGGGAGUGGGGAACCAUUUUCAAGGUGAUGGUCAUUGUUGUUGAUUCCCUACUUCAGGUGAUAUCCCCUGCACUCAUGUGAAAGUCUACAUUGGACAUUUGUUGAAUCACCACAUUGAAGAAUCGACUUAGUUGACUGGCAUUGUAAGAUAUGCAAUUGAUAUCGCCAACGAAAAAUAUGCGCUCAUGGGUCUAUAAUAUAUAUUUAGCUGCUUGCCUUAUCCUGACUUCAGCAGAUGCUAAGCGAGGGCAUCAUAAAUUCUGAUGGAGCGUUGCUGAUUUAAAAUUUUUGUUGAUGAUU
This is a long non-coding RNA of Papaver somniferum (opium poppy), 319 nucleotides long. RefSeq lists it as uncharacterized. NCBI's taxonomy places the organism in Eukaryota, Viridiplantae, Streptophyta, Magnoliopsida, Ranunculales, Papaveraceae. The record is from RefSeq and is a predicted model, not a curated record. The transcript has 3 exons.